RNAcentral lists this ribosomal RNA (306 nucleotides) under Pecten jacobaeus. RNAcentral describes it as "eukaryotic LSU rRNA". It matches the Rfam family "Eukaryotic large subunit ribosomal RNA", at positions 42 to 340 of the family's 3401-position model. Lineage: Eukaryota; Metazoa; Mollusca; Bivalvia; Pectinida; Pectinidae. The record is from RNAcentral.
AUCACUAAGCGGAGGAAAAGAAACUAACAAGGAUUCCCCCAGUAACGGCGAGUGAAGUGGGAAUAGCCCAGCACCGAAUCCCUCAGCCUUGCGCUGCCGGGAACUGUGGUGUUUGGGACGACCGCUGUCGUGCAGUUCGGGUGCCCAAGUCCUCCCGAUCGGGGCCUCUCCCAAAGUGGGUGUCAGGCCUUUACCGGCACUCGUCUACACGGCUAUGGUCGUCCUCGGAGUCGGGUUGUUUGGGAAUGCAGCCCAAAGCUGGUGGUAAACUCCAUCUAAGGCUAAAUACUGACACGAGUCCGAUAG